Molecule: ribosomal RNA, 1343 nt
Filed under: uncultured bacterium
Lineage: Bacteria
Description: 16S ribosomal RNA
Rfam family: Bacterial small subunit ribosomal RNA
Source: RNAcentral
GACGAACGCUGGCGGCGUGCUUAACACAUGCAAGUCGAACGGAAAGGCCCUGCUUUUGUGGGGUGCUCGAGUGGCGAACGGGUGAGUAACACGUGAGUAACCUGCCCUUGACUUUGGGAUAACUUCAGGAAACUGGGGCUAAUACCGGAUAGGAGCUCCUGCUGCAUGGUGGGGGUUGGAAAGUUUCGGCGGUUGGGGAUGGACUCGCGGCUUAUCAGCUUGUUGGUGGGGUAGUGGCUUACCAAGGCUUUGACGGGUAGCCGGCCUGAGAGGGUGACCGGCCACAUUGGGACUGAGAUACGGCCCAGACUCCUACGGGAGGCAGCAGUGGGGAAUAUUGCACAAUGGGCGGAAGCCUGAUGCAGCAACGCCGCGUGCGGGAUGACGGCCUUCGGGUUGUAAACCGCUUUCGCCUGUGACGAAGCGUGAGUGACGGUAAUGGGUAAAGAAGCACCGGCUAACUACGUGCCAGCAGCCGCGGUGAUACGUAGGGUGCGAGCGUUGUCCGGAUUUAUUGGGCGUAAAGGGCUCGUAGGUGGUUGAUCGCGUCGGAAGUGUAAUCUUGGGGCUUAACCCUGAGCGUGCUUUCGAUACGGGUUGACUUGAGGAAGGUAGGGGAGAAUGGAAUUCCUGGUGGAGCGGUGGAAUGCGCAGAUAUCAGGAGGAACACCAGUGGCGAAGGCGGUUCUCUGGGCCUUUCCUGACGCUGAGGAGCGAAAGCGUGGGGAGCGAACAGGCUUAGAUACCCUGGUAGUCCACGCUGUAAACGGUGGGUACUAGGUGUGGGGUCCAUUCCACGGGUUCCGUGCCGUAGCUAACGCUUUAAGUACCCCGCCUGGGGAGUACGGCCGCAAGGCUAAAACUCAAAGGAAUUGACGGGGCCCCGCACAAGCGGCGGAGCAUGCGGAUUAAUUCGAUGCAACGCGUAGAACCUUACCUGGGUUUGACAUGGAUCGGGAGCGCUCAGAGAUGGGUGUGCCUCUUUUGGGGUCGGUUCACAGGUGGUGCAUGGCUGUCGUCAGCUCGUGUCGUGAGAUGUUGGGUUAAGUCCCGCAACGAGCGCAACCCUUGUUCACUGUUGCCAGCACGUUAUGGUGGGGACUCAGUGGAGACCGCCGGGGUCAACUCGGAGGAAGGUGGGGAUGACGUCAAGUCAUCAUGCCCCUUAUGUCCAGGGCUUCACGCAUGCUACAAUGGCUGGUACAGAGAGUGGCGAGCCUGUGAGGGCGAGCGAAUCUCGGAAAGCCGGUCUCAGUUCGGAUUGGGGUCUGCAACUCGACCUCAUGAAGUCGGAGUCGCUAAUAAUCGCAGAUCAGCAACGCUGCGGUGAAUACGUUCCCGGG